RNAcentral lists this ribosomal RNA (301 nucleotides) under uncultured bacterium. Its description in RNAcentral is "partial 16S ribosomal RNA". It matches the Rfam family "Bacterial small subunit ribosomal RNA", at positions 509 to 807 of the family's 1533-position model. The record is from RNAcentral.
CAGUCGCCACGGGAAUACGGAGGGGGCUAGCGUUGUUCGGAAUUACUGGGCGUAAAGCGCACGUAGGCGGCUUGGUAAGUUAGAGGUGAAAGCCUGGAGCUCAACUCCAGAAUUGCCUUUAAGACUGCCGAGCUAGUAGGUGAGAGAGGUAAGUGGAAUUCCGAGUGUAGAGGUGAAAUUCGUAGAUAUUCGGAAGAACACCAGUGGCGAAGGCGGCUUACUGGCUCAUUCUAGACGCUGAGGUGCGAAAGCGUGGGGAGCAAACAGGAUUAGAUACCCCUGUAGUCCCUGUCUCUUAUAC